RNAcentral lists this ribosomal RNA (456 nucleotides) under uncultured bacterium. Its description in RNAcentral is "bacterial SSU rRNA". It matches the Rfam family "Bacterial small subunit ribosomal RNA", at positions 338 to 795 of the family's 1533-position model. The record is from RNAcentral.
CCUACGGGGGGCUGCAGUGGGGAAUUUUCCGCAAUGGGCGAAAGCCUGACGGAGCAAUACCGCGUGAGGGAUGACGGCCUAUGGGUUGUAAACCUCUUUUUUCAGGGAGGAAUAAAUCAGAAAUGACGAUGACGUGUACCUGAAGAAUAAGCAUCGGCUAACUCCGUGCCAGCAGCCGCGGUAAGACGGAGGAUGCAAGUGUUAUCCGGAAUCACUGGGCGUAAAGCGUCUGUAGGUGGUCCAAUAAGUCAACUGUUAAAUCUUGAGGCUCAACCUCAAAAUCGCAGUCGAAACUAUUAGACUCGAGUAUAGUAGGGGUAAAGGGAAUUUCCAGUGGAGCGGUGAAAUGCGUAGAGAUUGGAAAGAACACCGAUGGCGAAGGCACUUUACUGGGCUAUUACUAACACUCAGAGACGAAAGCUAGGGUAGCAAAUGGGAUUAGAUACCCCAGUAGUC